RNAcentral lists this unclassified non-coding RNA (284 nucleotides) under fungal sp. RNAcentral's name for it is "partial internal transcribed spacer region". The stretch from base 1 to 46 matches the Rfam family "Eukaryotic small subunit ribosomal RNA", at positions 1786 to 1831 of the family's 1831-position model. Lineage: Eukaryota; Fungi. The record is from RNAcentral.
AAGUCGUCACAAGGUUUCCGUAGGUAAACCUGCGGAAGGAUCAUUACCAAAUCCAAAUUCAACCACUUGUAAACAUGUCUUGUAUUGGGAGGGUUGUGAGAGCUUGCUCUUACUUUCCAUCAAUUGCUUUUGCAAUUGUUGGGAGCCUCCCAUUAGGCGCAUGCGCGCUUCUUUGUUGAAAGAAAAUAAGCCACAAACCAUUGUGAACCACAAUUCACAAUUAUCAUUUGGUUUUUACCACAAAAACACAAUGACAACUUUUAACGGUGGAUCUCUUGGCUCAU